This 898-nucleotide long non-coding RNA is filed under the name Zostera marina. RNAcentral describes it as "long non-coding RNA (ZMAR_LNC006028)". The record is from RNAcentral. Lineage: Eukaryota; Viridiplantae; Streptophyta; Magnoliopsida; Alismatales; Zosteraceae.
UAGGGACUACAAUUUAGGACUACAAUUCUAGACUUGAACCCUGGUGUAUUAGUCAAGCUCCGGCCAUAGCGACAGAGUGACUCUCGAUCCUUAUCAAGGCCAUAGCGACAAGAUGGGAUAGGAUCAUUGAAGGCAAGGCGACAAAAUGAUCCUUGGUCUAUUAAGGCCAUAGCGACAAAAUAGAUUGAAAACGAGGGUAUCGUUGAUUGUAGUCGAAAAUUUAGAAUAUCGGGCUAGAUUCGUAAAUGAGAGUCCGAUUUAGAUUCUUAAGUCGCACUUUGGACUCAUAAAUCGUAAACUAGACUUGUAAUCGCAAUUUUAGUCACUUUGGACGUAAAUUGGAUUUUGUAACCAUCGCUUAGAUUCGCGGGUCGUAAGCUAGGUCUGAGCAGCGUGUAUCAUCCAGCCAAAGCGAUGGAUGAUACAUGAGGUUGAAGAGACGGAUGUCAUCUAGCCGGAGCGAUGGAUGAUUGAUCCGUCUGAAGCGAUGGAUGAUUAUUCUAAAAAUGGUACUGCAUAUAUCUCUAUGGGUUAAAGAGAGAUUUAUUUAGAAUAAUAUCGCUAUUGAGAAUACAUGAGAAAAGCAUGAGCGACAAAUAAAACAAUCGACAUGUUUUGGUCGCUGGUUGCCACUGACAGAAGCAUAGCCUGCAUGGUUACUCUGGCCAAUCCUAUCUCUUAACAGGUGAUAGUUCCUCACUACUAAUGUGAUGCAUUUGAUUGCGAGUGUGAACUGUGGCUCUGGUUGCCAUCACUGUCAUAGGAUUGAGAGCGUGGGCUAUGGUCAUAACUGUUACUGGGCCGAGAGUGUGAGCUAUGACUUUCGUGGCCAUAACUGUUACCAGACUGAGGGUGUGAGCUAUGGCUUUCGUGGCCAUAACUGUUACCAGACUGAGAG